UUAAAAUAUUACCUUUUAAUUUAUUAAAAUCAUUGCCAUUUAUUUAUUUUGACACAAUUAUUUAUGUUACUAAAAUUAUCAUGCAUAUUUAUUGUUAUUUUGUAUAUUAUUUUUAUUAACUUUUAGUAUAUUGUUUUAUCAUAAAUAUGAUCUAAUUUUCAUAUAUUGUUCAUCAAAUAUUUCUACCUAUUGUAUUUACAGCUUUUCAAAGUUGACAGCUUGGAAUUAUUCACAUAUGAAAUUUAUAUAUGUGGUAUUUUAUUAAACUAUUAAAUAAUUUUAAUUAUUCUCAUUUUGAUAACUCCACUUAAGUAGUUUGUGCUUAGCCAG
This 330-nucleotide unclassified non-coding RNA is filed under the name Hevea brasiliensis (rubber tree). Lineage: Eukaryota; Viridiplantae; Streptophyta; Magnoliopsida; Malpighiales; Euphorbiaceae. The record is from RNAcentral.